UAUUUGUUGAUGUAAAGGGCAUAAGAAGUUUUGAUCUUCUAAGGAGUAGUGCGAUUCUACUACAAAUAA
Molecule: transfer RNA, 69 nt
Filed under: Mictyris longicarpus
Lineage: Eukaryota; Metazoa; Arthropoda; Malacostraca; Decapoda; Mictyridae
Description: tRNA-Gln
Source: RNAcentral